UCCAAGAGCCAAGUUCAGAAAUCAGGAAUUCCAAGGGCCUGAUUGGUGCUCUACCCACCUGUGGCUGAGCUGGUACCUAAGGUGCAGGACAAAGUUCCCUUUACUUUUCCCUCUGUUUUUCUCUAGCAGGAGUCUAGCCCUGUGGCACCACAUCUGGGAAUGUGCUGAGUCUCAUGUGAAGCCAAGAAGUCUCAGAGCCUCAUCCAAGGCCCUAGGGUAGUACCUGUGUAUCACUGCUGGUUAUUCAAGGCCCAAGGGCUCUUCAGAUAGCAGAAACCCUGAAGCAUGCCAUGAAGUUAAACUCAAUCUCUGAUUGUAUGAAGGUGAUCUUCCCUUGCAUAACUGCUUGCAAGAAGUAAAGACAAAAUCUCUCCAGAAGAAGAUAACAUCAGCCAGAGCCUAAAAUUAUCAGUAUCCAAGAUAAUUAUCUGUAAAAUUUUUCAUACACGAUGUCCAGCAUGCAAUCAAACAUAACCAGGAAUAUCAAGAAAUAAGACCACAUGACCAAAAAACAAAGGGACAUAGAGGGAGAAACAGGGACAGCAAGAGACUGAACCACAGGAAAUUCAGACAUUGGGCUUAUCUGAAACAGAAUGCGAUGUGGUUUGGAUCUGUGUCCCCACCAAAUCUCAUCUUGAAUUGUAAUCCCCAGUGGUGGAAGUGGGGCCUGGUAAGAGGUAAUUUGAUCAUGGGGGUGAAUUUCUCAUGAAUAGUUUAGCACCAUUGCUCUUGGUACUGUCCUCACAAUAGUGAGUGAGUUCUUGUGAGAUCGUGUUGUUUAAAAGUGUGUGGCACUUCCCCCCUCACUCUCUCUUGCUCCUGCUCUGGCCAUGUGAUGUGCCAGCUCCCCCUUUGCCUUCCACCAUGAUUGUUUCCUGAGGCCUCCCCAGAAGUGGGGCAGAUGCCAGGACCAUGCUUCCUGUACAGCCUGAAUAACCAUGAGCCAAUUAAACCUCUUUUCUUUAUAAAUUACCUAGUCUUAGGUAUUUCUUUAUAGCAAUGUGAAAAUGAACUAAAACAGACUGUAACAUAAGUUUCAUAAGUGUGAUUAAUAUAUUCAGAAAUUGGAUGACAGGAUAGAGAAUAUAGCAGAGAACAAAACACUAUAAAAUGGAUUAAAUGGAAGUUUUAUAUCUCCCCUUAAAAAUUCAAGAAUGUGUUCAGUAGCAUAUUAGAUAUAGUUGAAGAAAGAAUUAGCAGAAUGGAAAAUAG
RNAcentral lists this long non-coding RNA (1212 nucleotides) under Homo sapiens (human). RNAcentral describes it as "HSALNT0392619". Lineage: Eukaryota; Metazoa; Chordata; Mammalia; Primates; Hominidae. The record is from RNAcentral.